RNAcentral lists this ribosomal RNA (468 nucleotides) under uncultured bacterium. RNAcentral describes it as "partial 16S ribosomal RNA". It matches the Rfam family "Bacterial small subunit ribosomal RNA", at positions 28 to 507 of the family's 1533-position model. The record is from RNAcentral.
GACGAACGCUGGCGGCGUGCUUAACACAUGCAAGUCGAACGGAAAGGCCCUGCUUUUGCUGGGUGCUCGAUUGGGGAACGGGUGAGUAACACGCGAGUAAACUGCCCUUGUCUGUGGGAUAACUUCUGGAAACUGGGGCUAAUACCGGAUAGGAGCUCCUGAUGCAUGGUGGGGGUUGGAAAGUUUCGGCGGUUGGGGAUGGACUAGAUGCUUAUCAGCUUGUUGGUGAGGUAGUGGCUUACCAAGGCUUUGACGGGUAGCCGGCCUGAGAGGGUGACCGGCCACAAUGGGACUGCGGUACGGAGCAGACUGCUACGGUCCGCAGCAGUGGGGAAUAUUGCGCAAUGGGCGGAAGCCUGAUGCAGCAACGCCGCGUGCGGGAUGACGGCCUUCGGGUUGUAAACCGCUUUCGCCUGUGACGAAGCGGGAGUGACGGUAAUGGGUAAAGAAGCACCGGCUAACUACGUG